Molecule: long non-coding RNA, 453 nt
Filed under: Malus domestica (apple)
Lineage: Eukaryota; Viridiplantae; Streptophyta; Magnoliopsida; Rosales; Rosaceae
Description: long non-coding RNA (MDOM_LNC003827)
Source: RNAcentral
AUGAAUUAAAGAAGAUCAACGGACAAAAAUUAUCAAGAGAUGUGUGAAAAGUAAAAUAGGGUGUGUGGAUAGCACACCCCUAUAUUAAAUUAUCAACUAAUGCAUAAUAAUACAAGUCCUACAACUGUGAAUUAAUACUUAGUUACACGCUAACGCUAUACAAUCAAUAACUAUAAAAUAAUGCUUAGUUUGGUGGUGCUUGAAUAUUGAGUUUGCCUCGGAUGACUAGUCUUGUAAAGAGUUGGUGAACAUUAAUAAAAGAUAAAAAGUAAUCGAUUAUGUCAACCAAUGUGUCUCUUCCUUCAAAAUAUGAUGAAUAUUAAGAGUAGGUGCAACGAAGAAAAGAUGCAAACCAAAAAAAUAACUAAAGAUGCUAUUAAUAUCAAACAAUGUUUCUUACUCGGCAGUGUUGUAUCUUUGGAAGACCAAGGUAUCGUUUGAUAUGAAAACGGG